CAUAUACUCCCUCCGUCCGAAAAUACUUGUCAUCAAAUGAAUAAAAAGAGAUGUAUCUACAUCUAGAUAUAUCCCUUUUUAUUCAUUUUGAUGACAACUAUUUUCGGAUGGAGGGAGUAUGUG
Non-coding RNA from Triticum urartu, 123 nucleotides. The record is from Rfam. NCBI's taxonomy places the organism in Eukaryota, Viridiplantae, Streptophyta, Magnoliopsida, Poales, Poaceae.